This 253-nucleotide ribosomal RNA is filed under the name uncultured bacterium. Its description in RNAcentral is "partial 16S ribosomal RNA". It matches the Rfam family "Bacterial small subunit ribosomal RNA", at positions 524 to 776 of the family's 1533-position model. The record is from RNAcentral.
UACGUAGGAGGCGAGCGUUGUCCGGAUUUAUUGGGCGUAAAGAGCGUGUAGGCGGCCAGGUAGGUCUGCUGUGAAAACUCGAGGCUCAACCUCGAGACGUCGACGGAAACCGUCUGGCUAGAGUCCGGAAGAGGAGUGUGGAAUUCCUGGUGUAGCGGUGAAAUGCGCAGAUAUCAGGAAGAACACCUAUGGCGAAGGCAGCACUCUGGGACGGUACUGACGCUGAGACGCGAAAGCGUGGGGAGCGAACAGG